AGCAGCCGCGGUAAUUCCAGCUCCAAUAGCGUAUAUUAAAGUUGUUGCAGUUAAAAGCUCGUAGUUGAAUUUCGGGAUUGACGUAAUGGUCGUGCCUUAAGGGGUAUGAACUGUUACUGUUGAUUUCUCACCUUCUGGAGAAUCUUGAUGUCCUUAAUUGGGUGUCUUGUGGAUCCAGGACCUUUA
RNAcentral lists this unclassified non-coding RNA (186 nucleotides) under uncultured Glomus. RNAcentral's name for it is "sequence contains 18S rRNA gene". It matches the Rfam family "Eukaryotic small subunit ribosomal RNA", at positions 569 to 754 of the family's 1831-position model. The record is from RNAcentral. Lineage: Eukaryota; Fungi; Glomeromycota; Glomeromycetes; Glomerales; Glomeraceae.